This 390-nucleotide ribosomal RNA is filed under the name Triticum aestivum (bread wheat). Its description in RNAcentral is "partial small subunit ribosomal RNA". The record is from RNAcentral. Lineage: Eukaryota; Viridiplantae; Streptophyta; Magnoliopsida; Poales; Poaceae.
AUGAAAUCCCUUCAAGUCCUUACCUUCUCAACUGAUAGCUUGGGAUUCACGACAGCAAGCAUGAAAAAUUUGCGCAAUCUUGAAGCCCUCGUCCUCGAUCUCAGUCACAGCUUGUUGGACGAAAACAUUAGAGACACAUUCGAAAGGUUACCACGGUGUUCGCCUAACAAGUUGAAAGAAUUACAUCUCGAGAACAAUAAUAUCACUGGAGUCCUACCAGACUUCAUAGGGGAGUUCAUCAACAUUGUCAUCCUCGAUCUCUCUAGCAACCAUAUAACUGGGCAUGUGCCUCCUGAGAUAGGAAGGUUCAAAAAUUUAACUAGCUUGGACCUAAGCAGUAAUAGACUUGGAGGUGUGAUUACACAAGAACACUUUGUGGCCAUUUGGUGA